AGUGAACGCUGGCGGUAGGCCUAACACAUGCAAGUCGAACGGCAGCACAGUAAGAGCUUGCUCUUACGGGUGGCGAGUGGCGGACGGGUGAGGAAUACAUCGGAAUCUACUUUUUCGUGGGGGAUAACGUAGGGAAACUUACGCUAAUACCGCAUACGACCUACGGGUGAAAGCAGGGGAUCUUCGGACCUUGCGCGAUUGAAUGAGCCGAUGUCGGAUUAGCUAGUUGGCGGGGUAAAGGCCCACCAAGGCGACGAUCCGUAGCUGGUCUGAGAGGAUGAUCGGCCACACUGGAACUGAGACACGGUCCAGACUCCUACGGGAGGCAGCAGUGGGGAAUAUUGGACAAUGGGCGCAAGCCUGAUCCAGCCAUACCGCGUGGGUGAAGAAGGCCUUCGGGUUGUAAAGCCUUUUUGUUGGGAAAGAAAAGCAGCAGGUUAAUACCCCGCUGUUCUGACGGUACCCAAAGAAUAAGCACCGGCUAACUUCGUG
This 492-nucleotide ribosomal RNA is filed under the name uncultured bacterium. RNAcentral describes it as "partial 16S ribosomal RNA". It matches the Rfam family "Bacterial small subunit ribosomal RNA", at positions 29 to 507 of the family's 1533-position model. The record is from RNAcentral.